RNAcentral lists this long non-coding RNA (4010 nucleotides) under Sus scrofa (pig). Its description in RNAcentral is "lncRNA (ENSSSCG00000060644.1)". Lineage: Eukaryota; Metazoa; Chordata; Mammalia; Artiodactyla; Suidae. The record is from RNAcentral.
GUAUCACCCAAUAUAAUAAAUCUUUAAUGGUUCACUUUAAUUAAACUUUACAUGAAAAUAUGCUACUAAAAAGCAGAUGUUAAAUACAUCCUCUUAAAUAAUUCUAAUAAUUAUAAAACAUCCUAAAUUCAAAACGAAGAAUUUAGUGUACUCAAAUUACCAUUAUACAACUAUAUAUAACAUACAUAUUUCAAAAUCACAUGAAUGUUUUUCGUCUUUUUAGGUCUGCACCCACGGCAUAUGGAGGUUCCCAGGUAGGGGUCUAAUCGGAGCUGUUGCUGCCGGCCUACGCCAGAGCCACAGCAAUGCCAGAUCCGAGCUGCAUCUGCGACCUACACCACAGCUCAUGGCAAUGCCAGAUCCUUAACCCACUGAAGCCAGGGAUCGAACCAGCAACCUCAUGGUUCCUAGUCGGAUUCAUUUCUGCUGUGCCAUGACAGGAACUCCAUGAAAUUUUAAGGUAAAAAGAAUUCAGAGAAGUCACCAGUUAAAUGUUACCUAACCUUUAUUAUUGUCAGCCAAUGUACCCAGGAAUCAGAAUAACUGAUAAUAUCUUUGCUUUGUGCAAAAUGGAGGUAUAUGGAUUUAAAUAUUUUUUAAUACAGGACUAUUGAAAACAGAGCCAAAAUUAAAUCAGGAAAAUGUGUUUUCUGUAUUAGUUUAUUCUUGGAAACUAUUCUGACAAGCAAAUUCUCCUAUUUUGUAAAAUUCCUUUACUCUAUCUUAGUCAGUGACUCAGGAUUUAAGAAACGUGAGUACUUCCCCACAUUUUCAGUGACAGUCUAAGUGUGCAAACAGCUCUGAUCUGAUGGAUGGUCAUGGAGAAGGCUGUGGAAGAUCAAGGGCACAUUUGAGAGGAUAAAAAUCAAUAACAAUACUAACGACCACAUUACAAGAAAGAGGUGGUGUGAAACUUCUAUCAUAUUAUCAACUGUGGAAUGGUAGAUAGCCUACAGCUGGGAAACAAGAAACCUGAGUUGGGGCUCAAGAUUUCUUAUGGUCAUUUGUGUGAGUCUGGGCAAGUCAAAGGCUUUGGAAAUCAGUUUCUUCAGCUUAGAAGUAAGAGUAUGGGCCAAGUUUAUUAUUUAAAUCUCAUUAAAAUGCAUAGUUACCUCACUCUAAGGUACAUACAGCUGUGGACUAGUACCAGCUACUAUCAGGUACUGCUUUGGCCAAGUGAAGAACAUCGGUUCCAAAACUAUUUAAAACAAAUGUACUAACAUUUCCCAAAUGUGGUGCAGUACAAACCACUGAAAUACUGUUAUCUCUGAACAGCUGUUGUGUUCCUACAUUAAGAAAAAUUUACCCUCCUGCUCAUCUAACAUGCCAUAUUGUUUCUUUUUAUUUAUGUAAUACUACUAUUUUCUUGGUUACUAUGAACUUUGGUUCUCAAUAAAAUUUCAUUUUGUAGUAUUACUAUUUAAAUUUCUAGGGAAAUUGUUUUCAGUAAUGUUUAAAAAUAUUCAUUAAAUUCCUAUUUUCUCUGAUGUAUCAGCUUUCUUCAAGCGAUCAAUAUAGUUUAAAAAACAAGUUUAAUAUGAAAGUCUUUAAAUUAUGUCUUUAAUUUGAAUUAACAUUCCCUUAUAUUAUAAUGAGAAUAUUACAAUGAGAACUUAAAUUUAAUGACAUUGAUAUUUGAUAAUUUCUAUGGAAAUACAGGGAAAUCACACUCCUUAUGAUAAAUAUAUUUGGGAAAACAUUAGCAGGCCUUGUAGGUGUCAGAAAGUAAAAGCACUGUAUUUUCACACAGCAACCAGAACUCAGCUUUAUUUCUACCACAGAAGAUAAGGUGAUUUCAUUCAACUAGACAAUUGAAUCAGCACAGCUUGCUGUAAACAGGAAACAAUAUAUUAUUUAUCAUAGUAAGGCAAAAAUCCCUAUUUGCAGGAAAUGCCCUGUAAGGCCUUUGCAAACACCUCAAUUUCCCUUUUCAUCUACCUCACAAGCAACAGUAAGGGAUUAGUAUUUAGAUUUCUUUUCAGAAGGUCUCAAGUAUAGGUCACCUCUCUAUUGAGUGCUUCAGCCUAGAUUGGCUAGGAGAGCAGAGAUUUCUUCUUGUAUGCCAGAUACAUGCAAUGUCAAAUUACCAUUAUCAGCCUAGUCCAUGCUAAUCUCACAAAUAUGAGGUGGGAAAAUACAGGGCUCAAGAUAGGAAAGAAAUUCAAAUAAUGAACAUUAAGCCCUCUAUUAUGUGCCAUACAUUAAUUAACUAAUGUCAUUCAAUUCUCACAACUAAAAUGUGAUAAUAGUUAAGCCACUGAACAUGAUAAAUUAGAAGAAAAUGAUCAGGAUGUUUACAUAAAUAUUUAAUGUGAACUCUGUGACAUACACACUUAAAAUCUCAUGACUAUAAAAGUAGCUGUACUUUCUUCUGUUUUUUCUUUUACUUCCCUGGAAUUUCCAAAGAUCUUUUAAGCUCUAAAUAGCUAAUCUGAUACAAUAAAUACUCAACAAUCUUUCCUGCCAGGCCUCGUGUUUGAUACCAUGGAGGGACACAAGGAUGAAUGAGAUGCCCCAAUCCCAACUGAUAACACAUACUGCUGGUAAUCAUUUCAGUUUCAUGAUGGAUUCUCUAGUUCAAACAGCAUAAAAAGGCUUCUAGUUUUAUUUAUGAAAUUAAAAAAAAAACUUAGCUGUAGCACUGAUGUGAUCUUAAAAAAUGAGCCAUAACAUCUUUCUGGCGAUUUUUUGUUUCUUUUUUCCAUUUUUUAUUUGGCCCCACCCACAGCAUGUGGAAGUUCCUGGGUCAGGGAUCAAACCAUGCCACAGCAGCAACCCAAGCUGUGGCACUGAUAAUGCCAGAUUCUUAACCCACUGCACAAGAGAACUCCCAUAUCUUUCUUAUCACUGCAACAAGAAGGCUAGUCCUGAGUGUGAAACCUCCUGACUGACUGUCUUAAAGCCCAAGUUCCACAACUGUUGAGCAUUCUGAUCUUCUAAUACUAGAUACAGGCAUUUAACUAACUCCUUACAUAUUUUGAUUUUUUUUUUUCACUUUGAAGAUCUAGUAAGGUUCACUGUCUCUAAUGACAGACAGCUAUUUCUUAAAGAUAAUCUCUGGAUAACAAUACAUGAUUUUAGGAUCUGAAAGGUAAAUGUAUAAGGUUAAUCAAGUAACAAGUCUUGACAGAACACAAUUCUCUGAGGCCACAUGAGAGCAGGAACAUGAGCAACUGGAUUCUAGAGGUAGAGGGGCUUCAUCAACUCUAAUCCCAGCUCAGUCACAUGCUAAGUGUAUGGCAAGUUCUUUAAUCUUUCUAAGUAUUUCUAGUAUUCUGAGUAUUUUUAUCUGCUAAAUAGCCUAAUAACACUUAUUCUGCAUAGUAGUUGUAAAGAUUAAAAAAAAAUUGUAAAGAUUCAGCAGAGAGAUAUAGCAGGUGCUUAAUAAACAGUAACAGUUUAUUCUCAUCCAUCAUUGCACUGCAUUACUGGUUUAAGCAGUAUUUCAACUCUGAGAGCAUACAUUUGGUCUAUGAUAAACCAGCUGACCAGGUCAAGUAUGAAUCCAGUUAAUGAAGAUAUACACAGCUCAAAAAAAAUAAAUUAUUUGGACAUAGUCUAUAAAUUAUUCUCCCAUAUAGCUGUCUUCAAAUGUAAGCUAGAAGACACUGGAUUUAAGAGGACAAAAAUUGCCCUUAUCAUCUUUAUGGCUUUAGUCUGGAAAAUAACAGUGAUAAUAACCUUAGGUCCUUGUGGAAUUUCCAUAACUGUAUAUCACUACCACAAAACAGAUCUCUUCUAAUAGCAAUGAAAUACAGAAGUGAGGAGUUCCCAUCGUGGCUCAGUGGUAACAAAUCCAUCUAGUAUCCAUGAGGACUUGAGUUCGAUCCCUGGCCUUGCUCGUGGGUUAACAAUCUGGUGCUGCCGUGAGCUGUGGUUUAGGUUGCAGACACAGCUCAGAUCUGGCAUUGCUGUGGCUGUGGUAUAGGCUGGCAGCUACAGCUCUGAUUUGACCCCUAGCCUGGGAACUUCCAUAUGCUGCAGCUGCAGCCCUAAAAAGACAAAAAGAC